GUCUGCCUUCAUCUUGUUCACCUCUUACUAAGCUGCUAGACUUGAGAGCAUGCUCACCUCAGACUCCAGGGGGACAAAGGGAGAAGAAGGCAUGUGUAGGCUUAAUCCUGAUCCCAGAGUAGGGUACCUGAAAAAGCCAGAGAAUUGAUAAAGAGCACAGACUGUGUGGUAACUUCUGUGGAAAACCUUCAAACGGCUGACAACUCACAUCUGAGCUGAUGAAUGACUCAAAGAAGAGCUUAGCUUUUGAUCUUGCCGCUGUCACCCACGAGGAAUCUGAUUUCAGAUGUGUGUCCUUUGUGAUGAAGCAACCUGCAGUGUGCUCCAGCUCUGCACCAUUGGGGCUGACAGCUUGGUGGUGAAAAGGCACUGUGAAGGACCUGGAUAUGGUUGACCUCCCUGUGCUUCUUGAAGCGGUUUCCGUGGGUAGACUGGCUGCUCCCCUCCUCUGGAAAGGGUUUAUACGGUGCUCCAGAAAUUCACAAAGGAAGAAGAUGUCCACAUUUCAUAAGAUUUUAUCAUCUAAUUCUGUACCAGUGAAUACUACUCAAAAACAGGUGUCAAGUAGCAAGGGAGAUGAAUGCAAGUUAGAGUGCGGCAUAAGGAGAAUAUCUCUCUCACAGUUGUACUUAACAGUUUUGAAACCUUCAGCCCAUCAUUUCACAUCUCUGAACUAA
RNAcentral lists this long non-coding RNA (677 nucleotides) under Anas platyrhynchos platyrhynchos (common mallard). RNAcentral describes it as "lncRNA (ENSAPLG00000019762.1)". Lineage: Eukaryota; Metazoa; Chordata; Aves; Anseriformes; Anatidae. The record is from RNAcentral.